Long non-coding RNA from Callorhinchus milii (elephant shark), 967 nucleotides. RefSeq lists it as uncharacterized. The record is from RefSeq and is a predicted model, not a curated record. NCBI's taxonomy places the organism in Eukaryota, Metazoa, Chordata, Chondrichthyes, Chimaeriformes, Callorhinchidae. The transcript is spliced from 3 exons.
UUCGCUAUAUUCCCACUCCUUUCCUGUCCUGAUCCGACUGUUGGGAGAGUUUUACACUCAAGCAAACUGGACUCAAAUCCUCCUUAAACCCAGGUGGGAAAGAGCAGCCCGAACGGUGGCGCCACUGCCCGACACCGCAACACAUCAGCAAAGCACAAGCCGCUUGCACAACUCGAAUCUGCUGCUCUUGGCCUCUGCCUCUCUCUCUGCCUCUCUCUGCCUGGCACCCACUCACAUGCCUUUUUUUUUUAUCACCUCGAAAAUAAAACAGAGCCAAUCGGGAUUUGCAAAUAUAUAUAUAUAUACAUAUAUAUGCAUUGCAUAAAGCAACAGCGCAAGAACUACAUUACCUCCUGGUUGAAAGCGAUCUACUUUGAGGCAAGGAGGAAGGAGGAGAAGUCAAAAGUUCCAGGCUUGCAUUGCAUUGAAGUCUUCCCAAAUAAAUAUCAGCCAGUCCUCAGCGAGGGACCCGGCCGCAGACUCUCUCCACAGUCAGUGGUUGUACUGAAAAUCAGUUGUGUUGGGCCAUUUGCUGCUGAGCUGAGCGCAGUGACACCCAGUGGAUCAGGCGGUCCACACAUCAUCUUUUAACACAGCAGUAGUAACGCCAGGAACUAUUUGGGAAUAAAUCAUGAAGCGCAAAAAAGGGAAACACUUCCGUUACCGACGCAACGCAAAACAACAACAACAACAACAAAAACAACAAACAAACAACAGCAAAUUGCAUUGAUGUGGCGCCUUUCAUUUCACAUCGACGCUGAACAGUGAAGGCUUUGCACCCGAUCGUGUUAGUCUGGCAUUCAGGUCAACUUAACCAAUACAGCGACUCUCUAAAUAAGGUUGUGUAAUGUGUGGUCUUUUUUCCAGUUGUAACUGGAACAGCUGGACCAGCCUGGCCUUGUUGAAUAUUGCACAUUGAUCUUCUGUGCAGCACAUAGAAAUACCGUAAUAAAAUAAAAUAAAAUAA